AUGGGGUACUAUCUUGCCGACGGUAUUUUUUCUCCAUGGUCAACAUUUGUGAAGACCAUUAGCGACCCCAAAACCAAGAAGCACAAUUUUUUUUUGCCGAAGCACAAGAAGCUUGCCGAAAGAAUAUUGAGAGGGCAUUUGGUGUGUUGCAAGUUCGGCUUGCCAUUGUUCGACGUACCUCUCGCUUCUGGGAUAAGAAAUCCCUAG
RNAcentral lists this ribosomal RNA (207 nucleotides) under Triticum aestivum (bread wheat). Its description in RNAcentral is "partial small subunit ribosomal RNA". The record is from RNAcentral. Lineage: Eukaryota; Viridiplantae; Streptophyta; Magnoliopsida; Poales; Poaceae.